RNAcentral lists this ribosomal RNA (253 nucleotides) under uncultured bacterium. RNAcentral's name for it is "partial 16S ribosomal RNA". It matches the Rfam family "Bacterial small subunit ribosomal RNA", at positions 524 to 776 of the family's 1533-position model. The record is from RNAcentral.
UACGGAGGGUGCAAGCAUUGAUCGGAAUUACUGGGCGUAAAGGGCGCGAAGGCGGCCUGAGAAGUCAGAUGUGAAAAUCCGGGGCUCAACCCCGGAACGGCAUUUGAAACUCUCAAGCUAGAGUACAGUUAGGGAAAACGGAAUUCCACGUGUAGCGGUGAAAUGCGUAGAUAUGUGGAAGAACACCGGUGGUGAAGACGGUUUUCUGGGCUGUAACUGACGCUAAAGCGCGAAAGCUAGGGGAGCAAACAGG